This is a long non-coding RNA of Lepisosteus oculatus (spotted gar), 384 nucleotides long. RefSeq lists it as uncharacterized. Lineage: Eukaryota; Metazoa; Chordata; Actinopteri; Semionotiformes; Lepisosteidae. The record is from RefSeq and is a predicted model, not a curated record.
UCAGGAAUCAGGAAUCAGGAAUCAGGAAUCAGGAUCAAAGAGGAGGCAAUCCUAAAGUCCAUAAACCAAGAAGCAGUCAAGAGCAGGUUCCCAGGAGGCCCUGAUGUGUGCAGUAACUCAACAGACACUGAGAAUAGAAAUGGCAUUGCUGUGGGGCAGAAGAAAUGAGGUUUUCAAACCCUGUUGUGAAGAUGAGCAGGGUCCAGGAAAGUGCACAACAAGGGAGAAGUGAUGGGCUAUGUAGGCCUGUGCUGGAGAUUCAGUGGUCACGGGCAAUUGGACGAAAGGUGUGUCCCUCACUCGCCACAGCACAUGGAGGCCACAGGCUGCAGUCUCUGAGAGCUGAAAAAUCACUGGACAACUAAUCCCUCCCUACCCUUUCAU